This is a long non-coding RNA of Oryzias melastigma (Indian medaka), 1017 nucleotides long. RefSeq lists it as uncharacterized. The transcript has 3 exons. The record is from RefSeq and is a predicted model, not a curated record. NCBI's taxonomy places the organism in Eukaryota, Metazoa, Chordata, Actinopteri, Beloniformes, Adrianichthyidae.
UCACCCAGAGAGUCCACUAUCAAGUUAGAUAAUUGUUGCCAUGGUAACUAAGAAUAACCUGCUUCACAGCUCUGGUUACGUACCUCUACAAUGGAGGUAAAGACCAAGACUAUACUCUGUAUUUGCUACCUCCUUUAGGGGACCAUACAUUCUUCCAUACACUCUGGAAAACUCCAGAAAAUGACUGAGCUCCACUCAGACUGGUUCCAGAACCCACACCGUGGGUCCAGUUGAGUCAAAUCCCACAUUUGGAACAUCAUAACCUCGUGAACCCGCAGGCUGGACAGCAGACCUGCUGGAUUAUAGCUGACCAAUGUAGUGUGGAAAGAGCUUGAGUCAGUGCUGUGGAGUCAAUGACCCCUGAGCCAGAGAGAGUCUGCAGGGGAAAACUCAACAAGUACUUUAGCUGCACGCCGCUGCUCCACACUCAUCCUGCUCGCUUUGCUGCUGCCGCCGGGGGGACGUCUGUCGCUUCAGAUUUUCUCAGCAUCUUUUUCUCAAACAAAUGAGACAGAUUUUAAAGGCAAGUUUCCUUACAACUAAACAACGCCUGAUUUAGCUUCAGCAAACGAAGCUCCAAACGCGUCAAGGUAAACAGGCCCUCCACCUAUGUCUGAGAAACACAAAGACUUCUUCAGCAUGGCUUUACUUCUAUCAGAUUACUGCUGUUGUAAGUGAUCGACCCUCAAAUAUUGUAGAAUACUCUCAUUUUGAAACUAAAUAAAUACUUGUUAAAUGCUAACUUGUUUAUAUUGAUAACCAGCAAGGCUUUGAUUAAUUAUUAUGUCUGUAUCUUAAAUUGAAGCUCUGUAGAGUUGGUACUUAACCUUUUUUAGGCCACAGAUCGGUUCAAAUUAGAAAAUGUUUUCACAGAACUGUCCGAACGGGGAAGAAGUUGUUAUUUUUAGGUUUCCUGUUUAUGAAAAUCUAUUUUCAAAAUAAAAAAAUCUAAAAAUGUCAGUAUAUAAUAGUUUCUGAUUUGAAACAUUCCAUAAUAAAACUUUCAAGGUGAAAAGA